This is a long non-coding RNA of Rhinopithecus roxellana (golden snub-nosed monkey), 1311 nucleotides long. RefSeq lists it as uncharacterized. The transcript is spliced from 3 exons. The record is from RefSeq and is a predicted model, not a curated record. NCBI's taxonomy places the organism in Eukaryota, Metazoa, Chordata, Mammalia, Primates, Cercopithecidae.
CGGGAAGAGCCAUCACUAGAGCCCACGGGGCGUUCUGCUUGCUUCCCUUCGGACCCACGCUGCUCAGGCCCAGGGAGUCGCCGAGCCGGGAGUUUGCUGGGAUGCUGGGUCUGAUGCCUGCGAGGGGCAGGACGUGGCGAAGGCCAUUCCGCUGCCCUUCCAGCUUCAGAAUCACCCAAUGCACGGGUUUCAACCGUAGCCGGCAAGAUGCGCCUCUCCGGUUUUGCUAGGCUUUGAAGCCUGCACAAUUGUACUACAAAAGGCGAUGGCUCCACCUAACGUUGGAUGGGCGCUUGCUCUGCGUGGUGAUACCAGAGCGCCAGUCUACUGUUCCUGUGUCGUAGUCGGCAAUUCAACCGGUUCCGCAACUGUGCUCGGGGCGCGAGGAAGCCAAGUGGGCUUCACAGGACAGACCUCCUUGGUUUCAGAGAUAUUGUAGCUGUCAACUUGAAACGUUCAGAAAGAAGAUUUCAGCGAUAGAUGAGAAGACUGGAAAUUUCUGGAUCUAAAGCUAACAUGACGUCCACCUCAUCCGGCGCCCUCGUCUCGGAUCCAACUCACCGCGGGCAAACCAUGCCUGGUUCCUAGUGCUUAGCGUGGUUUCAGAUCUCAAUAGAUAUGCCUGGGUUACUUGUGAACGUCACUGAAAAUGGCCCGUGGCCUUGUCCUUCUAUCAGAGUCCAGUAAAAUCCUGGCCAUGGAAUGGAGGGAUGAAAAGUGAGAACCACCAAACUCAGCAAACAAAGACUCAGUUUAAACCUCUGUGCUAAGAGAUGAUCAGACUCUAUCAUGGCUUCUAAUAGCAUAAGACCAUGUCCCGUGAAUUACCCUAGGCUCCCAUGACAAUGCCUACCUAAGAAAACUCAAGGCUGCCAGGGGAACUUACUUUAAUUCUAGCCAAUACCUGCUGAUGAUGGUAGGUUCUUUCUUAUAACACUUACUAAGAAGGGAAUCCUUCCUCCAUCCCUUUAAGAUAUGUGUGUAUCUCCUAGGAAUUCCAGUGUGUCUUUCCACAGAAUUUGAAAGCCAUUCCUUUGAGGUGUCGUCCUCAGGAACGACUGAAUCUCUGUCUCCGGGUCUCUGUGGGAGGUUAGAAUCCUAAUGUCUAAUAUUGCCAGCUGGCAGACACAGCUAUCCUGAUGAGGCAGAAGCUUACAAUGACCAACAUUUUGUAAUGUUUCACUUGUGCCCUGCCCCCUGCCCUAUCCCCUGCCUCACUCUCCAAUUAGAAUGCCAUCGGCUCUCCACAAAUGCGAUGGAGCUCAGCCCCUUCUGCUUUGGUCAGUAGUUACUGAAUAAAAUCUGUUUUCA